CAGGGAGUUUCGCAAGGGAGUUCUCCAGGUGAAGGAGGAGCUAAUACAGCAUCUGUGGGGGUGUUAAUGCCACAACACUGUCCCAGAACCACCACACCAAUUGUGUGUGGCAGAAGAGUGCAGGGGUGCAGCCCAAUAACCCAAAUAUAUACACCUAUGGCCUUAUCCAGGUACCCAGAAGUUCAACGUUAGCCCUGCAUUGAGGAUUUGAUUGGCACUUAUUACAGUCCGAUGCAGAAGGCCAAAUUUCACCAAUGAGAUCUACAAAACCAAUCAACUUGGAAGCAAUUUAGUCAGUGAGUGGCUCUGAUAAGGCAAACAGAUUGGCACAGUUAUCUCUCCACCAGCAUUUGAUAUCGUCACCUUCAGAAACCACCGACUGUAAGUUGUGACAAAUAAACAACUCAACCCAAGUGCCUCAGUUAGGCACUAACUGCAUUCCUACUUAACCCACUGUGGCUUGAAGGUGCUGUAAGAAAGGGAAAAAAAACCUCCCUGGUCCUCUGUCAAUCGGUCCCAUGGAGAAAAAAAAAUCCUUCCUGACCUCCAAACAGGUGAUCAGCUAGACCCACAGCAUGAGUCAGGCCAGAUUCCCAUUCCUACUUCAGGAUAUGGCUUUUUUCAGAUAUAACAUAAAAACAUAGUGAAUAAAUCCUGAGGACCACAAGCUCCUAUAACAAUGGGAUUUUUUUCCGUAUUUUGAACUUCUGUCUAUCAUUUU
Long non-coding RNA from Mauremys reevesii (Reeves's turtle), 721 nucleotides. RefSeq lists it as uncharacterized. The record is from RefSeq and is a predicted model, not a curated record. Lineage: Eukaryota; Metazoa; Chordata; Testudines; Geoemydidae. The transcript has 6 exons.